GGGUUGUGAGGUUAAGCGACUAAGCGUACACGGUGGAUGCCCUGGCAGUCAGAGGCGAUGAAGGGCGUGCUAAUCUGCGAUAAGCGCCGGUAAGGUGAUAUGAACCGUUAUAACCGGCGAUACCCGAAUGGGGAAACCCAGUGUGAUUCGUCACACUAUCAUUAACUGAAUCCAUAGGUUAAUGAGGCGAACCGGGGGAACUGAAACAUCUAAGUACCCCGAGGAAAAGAAAUCAACCGAGAUUCCCCCAGUAGCGGCGAGCGAACGGGGAGGAGCCCAGAGCCUGAAUCAGCAUGUGUGUUAGUGGAAGCGUCUGGAAAGGCGCGCGAUACAGGGUGACAGCCCCGUACACAAAAGCGUAUGUGCUGUGAGCUCGAUGAGUAGGGCGGGACACGUGGUAUCCUGUCUGAAUAUGGGGGGACCAUCCUCCAAGGCUAAAUACUCCUGACUGACCGAUAGUGAACCAGUACCGUGAGGGAAAGGCGAAAAGAACCCCGGCGAGGGGAGUGAAAAAGAACCUGAAACCGUGUACGUACAAGCAGUGGGAGCACCCUUUGGGGUGUGACUGCGUACCUUUUGUAUAAUGGGUCAGCGACUUAUAUUCUGUAGCAAGGUUAACCGAAUAGGGGAGCCGGAGGGAAACCGAGUCUUAAUUGGGCGUUAAGUUGCAGGGUAUAGACCCGAAACCCGGUGAUCUAGCCAUGGGCAGGUUGAAGGUUGGGUAACACUAACUGGAGGACCGAACCGACUAAUGUUGAAAAAUUAGCGGAUGACCUGUGGCUGGGGGUGAAAGGCCAAUCAAACCGGGAGAUAGCUGGUUCUCCCCGAAAGCUAUUUAGGUAGCGCCUCGUGAAUUCAUCUCCGGGGGUAGAGCACUGUUUCGGCUAGGGGGUCAUCCCGACUUACCAACCCGAUGCAAACUGCGAAUACCGGAGAAUGUUAUCACGGGAGACACACGGCGGGUGCUAACGUCCGUCGUGAAGAGGGAAACAACCCAGACCGCCAGCUAAGGUCCCAAAGUCAUGGUUAAGUGGGAAACGAUGUGGGAAGGCCCAGACAGCCAGGAUGUUGGCUUAGAAGCAGCCAUCAUUUAAAGAAAGCGUAAUAGCUCACUGGUCGAGUCGGCCUGCGCGGAAGAUGUAACGGGGCUAAACCAUGCACCGAAGCUGCGG
Molecule: ribosomal RNA, 1172 nt
Filed under: Salmonella enterica
Lineage: Bacteria; Pseudomonadati; Pseudomonadota; Gammaproteobacteria; Enterobacterales; Enterobacteriaceae
Description: partial 23S ribosomal RNA
Rfam family: Bacterial large subunit ribosomal RNA
Source: RNAcentral